Long non-coding RNA from Dalotia coriaria, 292 nucleotides. RefSeq lists it as uncharacterized. Lineage: Eukaryota; Metazoa; Arthropoda; Insecta; Coleoptera; Staphylinidae. The record is from RefSeq and is a predicted model, not a curated record. The transcript is spliced from 2 exons.
GUAGGAUCGCGAUUAUCGCGAAGGCAUUUGUAUCGAUUAGCACAGCAACGAGCGCACGGAAACAGAAGGCGACUCGGGCGACAUCUUCACGACCACUUUGCAACUACAAAAAAGGACAUUUAUAUAAUACAGGUUCAGCUCCGUGGAAACUUGGAAUCGUUGGAAACACAAAUCUGUGUUGGAAACGAAAAACGUGUUACCAACGUAAUGCGCGGCGUCAACUCCAAUGGCGACGAGACGAUGACUGAACGGUUUAAUAAACGGGACAAUAAAUAUAAUUUUGUUUGCAGGG